GCUACUGUAUAAAUCAUUCUAUAUUUUAAAUUGGAGCUAUAAACUCAAAAUAUAAAAUAUUGCUCACAUAUAGGACAUGCACAUCGGUCAGGCAUAACUUAGAGAACAAUACAGGGUUCAAGCUUUUGCAGGCCCAAAUGGUUCAUUGGGUUAGGUUCGGAUCAAGUCGUAGGGUUGGAAAUCCAAAAUUGUCCAAAAUUCAAACGGUCGGAUCGAAUCAGGUCGGAAUGUAGUAAAUGCAGACUCGAUCUAAAAAAUGAAAUGGAUCCAAUUUUAGAACCCUCCCUAAUCCUUUGAAUUCUCUAAAAUAGGUUGGAUUAUGUCUAAGUGGAUCGGGUCAUAAGUCAAUCCGACUCAUUUGCAGCUUUACAUUUAUAUGAGGUCCAUAUCCCGAUCCGAAUCUAUUUUUUUUCCACUAUUCCAAUCAACAAGGAAACAACUUAAUUUGUCAAGUUAUAUAGAGCAUAAUUUAUUUUUGCAUGCAUUCAUGUAUGAACACACAAACAUAUGUGUGUGGGUGUGUAUAUCAUGAACCUUCAUGUGUGCUACAUGUGCAUAUAUUAGUAGAUAAAUAAAUUAAAGACCCUUUUUGAUAUUUUAUGUGCUGAUAAAUGAAAUUAUAUCUUGGCAAGCGUUUGCGUGUGUGUUUGUUCAUUUUAUUCAUAUGGCAUUUUUUGUCUGCUUUGUUCCCCUCCCCUCCAAAAAGACAAAAAAAAAAAAAGAAAAAAAAAAGCAAGAUUUGCAUGGUUUAAAAUGGGUAAAUGCACACGAAAUUCCAAAUUCCAACCAUCAG
RNAcentral lists this long non-coding RNA (793 nucleotides) under Phoenix dactylifera (date palm). RNAcentral's name for it is "long non-coding RNA (PDAC_LNC017416)". Lineage: Eukaryota; Viridiplantae; Streptophyta; Magnoliopsida; Arecales; Arecaceae. The record is from RNAcentral.